UUGAAGAGAGAAAGAGAAAGUCGUUAGCGCCCCUGAACUGCUUUCCUCCCAUCUGUGCUACCUGUGAGGGGCGGGGGCACUCUGCACACAUGCUUUCAGGACAGUCGCCUGACCUGCUCGGCUUCACUCCUCACAUGCCCAGGUUCAAAUCCAGACUCUCCCUUCAUCUCCCUUCACACAGGAUAAGGGAUGAAGAGUGAACAGAAAACCAAGGAACUUUGUGGAACUGUCAAAUGAGAAACAAACAUGACCCAUAUUGUGGCCAUGAUUCCAGAGGUGGUUGUGUCAAAAUGUACCCGUCUGUGGCUAACAACUCGAGGACCACUUUCAAAAACAAGAAGAAUGUAUGAACACAGAAGGCAAUCAGAAUUUUACUCUUUUCUUACUCUAAAAUAUAAAUAUAAAUAAAUAAAAAACCACUCUGAAAUUCUAAGUAAAUAAAUAAUGUUUAAAACCCCCA
Long non-coding RNA from Mastomys coucha (southern multimammate mouse), 460 nucleotides. RefSeq lists it as uncharacterized. NCBI's taxonomy places the organism in Eukaryota, Metazoa, Chordata, Mammalia, Rodentia, Muridae. The transcript is spliced from 2 exons. The record is from RefSeq and is a predicted model, not a curated record.